This 512-nucleotide ribosomal RNA is filed under the name uncultured bacterium. Its description in RNAcentral is "bacterial SSU rRNA". It matches the Rfam family "Bacterial small subunit ribosomal RNA", at positions 28 to 584 of the family's 1533-position model. The record is from RNAcentral.
AACGAACGCUGGCGGCAGUCCCAACACAUGCAAGUCGAACGGGCACCUUCGGGUGUCAGUGGCAGACGGGUGAGUAACGCGUGGGAACCUACCCAGUGGUACGGAAUAACUCGGGGAAACCCGAGCUAAUACCGUAUACGCCCUCAGGGGAAAGAUUCAUCGCCAUUGGAUGGGCCCGCGCCGGAUUAGCUAGUUGGUGAGGUAACGGCUCACCAAGGCGAUGAUCCGUAGCUGGUCUGAGAGGAUGAUCAGCCACACUGGGACUGAGACACGGCCCAGACUCCUACGGGAGGCAGCAGUGGGGAAUAUUGGACAAUGGGCGAAAGGCCUGAUCCAGCCAUGCCGCGUGAGUGAAGAAGGCCCUAGGGUUGUAAAGCUCUUUCGGCGGGGAAGAUAAUGACGGUACCCGCAGAAGAAGCCCCGGCUAACUCCGUGCCAGCAGCCGCGGUAAUACGGAGGGGGCUAGCGUUGUUCGGAAUUACUGGGCGUAAAGCGCACGUAGGCGGACUGCU